GAAUAUUGGGCAAUGGAGGCAACUCUGACCCAGCCAUGCCGCGUGGAGGAUGAAGGCCCUCUGGGUUGUAAACUUCUUUUACUUGGGACGAAACCUUUUUAUUCUUAGAAAGUUGACGGUACCAAGGGAAUAAGCACCGGCUAACUCCGUGCCAGCAGCCGCGGUAAUACGGAGGGUGCAAGCGUUAUCCGGAUUCACUGGGUUUAAAGGGUGCGUAGGCGGGCAGGGAAGUCCGUGGUGAAAUCUCCGAGCUUAACUCGGAAACUGCCGUGGAUACUCUCUGUCUUGAAUACUGUGAAGGUGAGCGGAAUAUGUCAUGUAGCGGUGAAAUGCUUAGAUAUGACAUAGAACACCAAUUGCGAAGGCAGCUCACUGCGCAGUUUAUUGACGCUGAGGCACGAAAGCGUGGGGAUCAAACAGG
This 421-nucleotide ribosomal RNA is filed under the name uncultured bacterium. Its description in RNAcentral is "bacterial SSU rRNA". It matches the Rfam family "Bacterial small subunit ribosomal RNA", at positions 359 to 776 of the family's 1533-position model. The record is from RNAcentral.